CAGUGUCAAAAUCCUGACUGACUGUUGUCUGUGCAGAGGGGGCGCCGCAGAGUCGAGCGGAACUCUGUCCCGAGAAAAAGAGGUGAAAAAACUCAACGAGGAAAUCGAGCGCCUCAAGAAGAAACUGGCAGAGUCUGAUAGGCUGGAGAAGCAGCUGGAGGAGGCGGUCUCUCUGCGCCAGGACGAAAGCUCCGCCUCCAAACUUCAACUCUGGAAAAACAAGUGAAGAGUCUCCGGCAGGAAAAGGACGAGACGCACAAGCAGUUACAGGAGUCCCUG
Molecule: long non-coding RNA, 279 nt
Filed under: Neogobius melanostomus (round goby)
Lineage: Eukaryota; Metazoa; Chordata; Actinopteri; Gobiiformes; Gobiidae
Description: lncRNA (ENSNMLG00000014240.1)
Source: RNAcentral